This 331-nucleotide ribosomal RNA is filed under the name uncultured eukaryote. Its description in RNAcentral is "partial 18S ribosomal RNA". It matches the Rfam family "Eukaryotic small subunit ribosomal RNA", at positions 592 to 976 of the family's 1831-position model. The record is from RNAcentral.
CAAUAGCGUAUAUUUAAGUUGUUGCAGUUAAAAAGCUCGUAGUUGAAGUUGUGGCGCGGGCAUUGGGCCAUUAAGUUGGUUCCGGGCUCGCGACAUUUUACGGGGCAACCCGUUAUGUUACUUUGAGGAAAUUAGAGUGCUUGAAGCAGGCUUGGCUUUGAAUACUACAGCAUGGAAUAACGAUACAAGACUUUGGAAUCGGAGUUCUGGACCGAAGUAAAGGUUAAUAGGAAUGGUCGGGGGCAUUGGUAUUCAGCAGCCAGAGGUGAAAUUCUUAGAUUUGCUGAAGACGAACUAAUGCGAAANCANNNGCCAAGGACGUUUUCAUNAA